AUUGAACGCUGGCGGCAGGCCUAACACAUGCAAGUCGAGCGAGCGGCGGACGGGUGAGGAAUGUAUGGGGACUGCCCGAUAGAGGGGGAUAACUACUGGAAACGGUGGCUAAUACCGCAUACUAUCGGAUAACCCAUAUGGGUUUAGUUAGUAGGUGGGGUAAAGGCUCACCUAGGCGACGAUCUCUAGCUGGUCUUAGAGGAUGAUCAGCCACACUGGGACUGAGACACGGCCCCGACUCCUACGGAGGCAGCAGUGGGGAAUAUUGCACAAUGGGCGCAAGCCUGGUGCAACCAUGCCGCGUGUAUGAAGAAGGCCUUAGAGUUGUAAAGUACUUUCAGCGGGGAGGCGUUAACCGAAGAAGAAGCACCGGCUAACUCCGUGCCAGCAGACGCGGUAAGAG
This 403-nucleotide ribosomal RNA is filed under the name uncultured bacterium. Its description in RNAcentral is "partial 16S ribosomal RNA". It matches the Rfam family "Bacterial small subunit ribosomal RNA", at positions 30 to 526 of the family's 1533-position model. The record is from RNAcentral.